UGGGGAAUCUUGCGCAAUGGGCGAAAGCCUGACGCAGCAACGCCGCGUGCGGGAAGAAGGCUUUCGGGCUGUAAACCGCUUUCAGCAGGAACGAAAAUGACGGUACCUGCAGAAGAAGGAGCGGCCAACUAUGUGCCAGCAGCCGCGGUGAUACAUAGGCUUCAAGCGUUGUCCGGAUUUAUUGGGCGUAAAGAGUUCGUAGGCGGUCGAGUAAGUCGGGUGUGAAAAUUCUGGGCUUAACCCAGAGACGCCACCCGAUACUGCUUAACUUGAGUUCGAUAGGGGAGUGGGGAAUUCCUAGUGUAGCGGUGAAAUGCGCAGAUAUUAGGAGGAACACCGGUGGCGAAGGCGCCACUCUGGAUCGAUACUGACGCUGAGGAACGAAAGCAUGGGUAGCAAACAGGAUUAGAUACCCUCGUAGUCCAUACCAUAAACGAUGAUUGCUAGAUGUUGGAAAUUUAUUUUCAGUAUCGCAGCUAACGCAUUAAGCAAUCCGCCUGGGGAGUACGACCGCAAGAUUA
This 521-nucleotide ribosomal RNA is filed under the name uncultured prokaryote. RNAcentral describes it as "bacterial SSU rRNA". It matches the Rfam family "Bacterial small subunit ribosomal RNA", at positions 355 to 896 of the family's 1533-position model. The record is from RNAcentral.